ACAAGCGGUGGAGUAUGUGGUUUAAUUCGAUGCAACGCGAAGAACCUUACCUGGUCUUGACAUCCCGGGGACCCUUAGGAAACUAGGGGGUGCUUCCAUCUGGAAGAAUCUGGAGACAGGUGCUGCAUGGCUGUCGUCAGCUCGUGUCGUGAGAUGUUGGGUUAAGUCCCGCAACGAGCGCAACCCUUGCCUUUAGUUGCCAGCAGUUCGGCUGGGCACUCUAAAGGGACUGCCGGUGUUAAACCGGAGGAAGGUGGGGAUGACGUCAAGUCCUCAUGGCCUUUAUGACCAGGGCUACACACGUACUACAAUGGCCGAUACAAAGGGCAGCGACACUGCGAGGUGAAGCCAAUCCCGUAAAAUCGGUCUCAGUCCGGAUUGGAGUCUGCAACUCGACUCCAUGAAGUUGGAAUCGCUAGUAAUCGUGGAUCAGCAUGCCACGGUGAAUACGUUCCCGGGCCUU
RNAcentral lists this ribosomal RNA (463 nucleotides) under uncultured Desulfobulbus sp. RNAcentral's name for it is "bacterial SSU rRNA". It matches the Rfam family "Bacterial small subunit ribosomal RNA", at positions 925 to 1382 of the family's 1533-position model. The record is from RNAcentral. Lineage: Bacteria; Pseudomonadati; Thermodesulfobacteriota; Desulfobulbia; Desulfobulbales; Desulfobulbaceae.